This 935-nucleotide ribosomal RNA is filed under the name uncultured archaeon. RNAcentral describes it as "bacterial SSU rRNA". It matches the Rfam family "Archaeal small subunit ribosomal RNA", at positions 1 to 922 of the family's 1478-position model. The record is from RNAcentral.
UUCCGGUUGAUCCUGCCGGACCCGACUGCUAUUUGGGUGAGGAUAAGCCAUGCGAGUUGAAUGGGAAACCUAAAAAUCCCAUGGCAAACUGCUCAGUAACACAUGAUCAACUUGCCCUAUAGAGGAAAAUAACCUCGGGAAACUGAGGAUAAUGUUCCAUAGUUGAAUCGGCUUGGAAAAGUUUUUCAAUAAAAGGGAUAAGGAAAAUGGUCCUUAUCUGCUAUAGGAUAGGAUCGUGCUCGAUUAUGGUUGUUGGUGAGGUAAAGGCUCACCAAGCCGAUAAUCGAUAGGGGCCGUGAGAGCGGGAGCCCCGAGAUGGGUACUGAGACAACGACCCAGGCCUUAUGAGGCGCAGCAGGCGCGGAACCUCCGCAAUACACGAAAGUGUGACGGGGUUACCCAAAGUGUUCUAUUUAGAACUGUGGUAGGUGAGUAAUGUUCCCUACUAGAAAGGAGAGGGCAAGGCUGGUGCCAGCCGCCGCGGUAAAACCAGCUCUUCAAGUGGUCGGGAUAAUUAUUGGGCUUAAAGUGUCCGUAGCCGGUUUAGUAAGUUCCUGGUAAAAUCGGGUAGCUUAACUAUCUAUAUGCUAGGAAUACUGCUAUACUAGAGGGCGGGAGAGGUCUGAGGUACUACAGGGGUAGGGGUGAAAUCUUAUAAUCCUUGUAGGACCACCAGUGGCGAAGGCGUCAGACUGGAACGCGCCUGACGGUGAGGGACGAAAGCCAGGGGAGCGAACCGGAUUAGAUACCCGGGUAGUCCUGGCCGUAAACGAUGCAUACUAGGUGAUGGCACGGCCAUGAGCCGUGUCAGUGCCGUAGGGAAACCGUUAAGUGUGCCGCCUGGGAAGUACGGUCGCAAGGCUAAAACUUAAAGGAAUUGGCGGGGGAGCACCACAAGGGGUGAAGCCUGCGGUUCAAUUGGAGUCAACGCCGGG